GGGGGUAUAGCUCAGUGGUAGAGCAUUUGACUACAAAUCAAGAGGUCCCAGAUUCAUAGUCCUGGUGCCCACU
Non-coding RNA from Salvelinus fontinalis (brook trout), 73 nucleotides. NCBI's taxonomy places the organism in Eukaryota, Metazoa, Chordata, Actinopteri, Salmoniformes, Salmonidae. The record is from the annotation of a RefSeq genome assembly.